AAAUUGAAUUUGAAUUCAAAUUCCCUCCCGUAUUGACAUUGUCUCGAGGAGCAAGGGGCUGCCUUGAUGGUCGUGCAUUCUCAAUCUUGGCUUCUUUGUUGUCAUUCCUCACAACCUGCUCCUGCUGCUUAUUGGACAGGUAAAUCGCCAUGAAAUCGGCGGACUGGUCAGAAUCCGACACGGGCUGGAUCACGAACUCGCGCUUUGAGCUAGAGACUCUGGCCACAAGGGGCUCUGGGGUACCAAGGAAGGGGUGGCAGCCUGCAAUGGGGCGGAUACCGAGGACGCGUGGGACGGGGGAGUCAAAAUUGAAGCGGUCGACGUAGGCGAACUGGCCGAGCUGGAGGCGGUUUGUGAGGAUGAGGUCGGCGGUGGAUCCUAGCGUUGCGGUGCUUGUGGCGCAUUUCCUGCGACGACAGCGUCCUCGCACUCAGCGUUGUUGAGCCGGGUCUUGCCGAGAGAUCCGUCGCUGUCGCUGGCUCUUAUGGUGGACAGGCGUAUCCAUCGUCGAUCGCCUUCGGACGUCCAUCGUAUGUGUUGACGCGGUUGGUGAUGCUAAAAUGCGCCGGCGGCGAUUGAGCGGCGGAGAAGAAGAAGGGUUCGAUUUGAUGGGGAGUAGGGAGAUUAAGAUGAUGCCGUUUGGGGCAGGGAGGACAGAGCAUAAGCUGCUGGGCCGCAUUGUGGGCUUGAUUUGAUUUGGGUUUCUUCUUCUUGGAGCUGGAUUUGGAUAAUAG
This 734-nucleotide long non-coding RNA is filed under the name Malus domestica (apple). Its description in RNAcentral is "long non-coding RNA (MDOM_LNC017275)". The record is from RNAcentral. Lineage: Eukaryota; Viridiplantae; Streptophyta; Magnoliopsida; Rosales; Rosaceae.